Molecule: transfer RNA, 75 nt
Filed under: Salmonella enterica subsp. enterica serovar Newport
Lineage: Bacteria; Pseudomonadati; Pseudomonadota; Gammaproteobacteria; Enterobacterales; Enterobacteriaceae
Description: tRNA-Arg
Rfam family: tRNA
About the family: Transfer RNA (tRNA) molecules are approximately 80 nucleotides in length.
Source: RNAcentral
GCACCAUCUCUUACUUGAUAGAGUACUCGGCUACGAACCGAGCGGUCGGAGGUUCGAAUCCUCCCGGAUGCACCA